GAUGAACGCUGGCGGCGUGCUUAACACAUGCAAGUCGAACGGAAAGGCUCCUGCUUGCAGGGGUACUCGAGUGGCGAACGGGUGAGUAACACGUGGGUGAUCUGCCCUGCACUUCGGGAUAAGCCUGGGAAACUGGGUCUAAUACCGGAUAGGACGAUGGUCUGGAUGCCAUUGUGGAAAGUUUUUCGGUGUGGGAUGAGCUCGCGGCCUAUCAGCUUGUUGGUGGGGUAAUGGCCUACCAAGGCGUCGACGGGUAGCCGGCCUGAGAGGGUGUACGGCCACAUUUGGAACGGGAUACGGCCGUGACGACUACGGGGGCAGCAGUGGGGGAUAUUGCACGAUGGGCGCAAGCCUGAUGCAGGGACGCCGGGUGGGGAAUGACGGCCUUCGGGUUGUAAACUCCUUUCGCUAGGGAAGAAGCGCAAGUGACGGGACCUGGAGAAGAAGCACCGGCUAACUACGU
Molecule: ribosomal RNA, 463 nt
Filed under: uncultured bacterium
Lineage: Bacteria
Description: partial 16S ribosomal RNA
Rfam family: Bacterial small subunit ribosomal RNA
Source: RNAcentral